RNAcentral lists this ribosomal RNA (377 nucleotides) under uncultured bacterium. Its description in RNAcentral is "bacterial SSU rRNA". It matches the Rfam family "Bacterial small subunit ribosomal RNA", at positions 790 to 1167 of the family's 1533-position model. The record is from RNAcentral.
GUAGUCCAUGCCGUAAACGUUGGGCGCUAGGUGUGGGGCUCAUUCCACGAGUUCCGUGCCGCAGCUAACGCAUUAAGCGCCCCGCCUGGGGAGUACGGCCGCAAGGCUAAAACUCAAAGGAAUUGACGGGGGCCCGCACAAGCGGCGGAGCAUGCGGAUUAAUUCGAUGCAACGCGAAGAACCUUACCAAGGCUUGACAUGGGGUGAAAACUCGCAGAGAUGCGGGGUCCGCAAGGGCGCCUCACAGGUGGUGCAUGGUUGUCGUCAGCUCGUGUCGUGAGAUGUUGGGUUAAGUCCCGCAACGAGCGCAACCCUCGUUCUAUGUUGCCAGCACGUGAUGGUGGGGACUCAUAGGAGACUGCCGGGGUCAACUCGGA